This is a long non-coding RNA of Nerophis ophidion (straightnose pipefish), 1312 nucleotides long. RefSeq lists it as uncharacterized. The record is from RefSeq and is a predicted model, not a curated record. The transcript has 2 exons. Lineage: Eukaryota; Metazoa; Chordata; Actinopteri; Syngnathiformes; Syngnathidae.
UUAAGGGCAGCAUUGAACAAGUUAACUGGCUAACAAACUGCUGUGCUUUUUGGAUAAAUUAUUAAAUAAGCUUUCUUCCGAGUCAAACAAAACCAAAUGUUUAAUAUAAUUUAAUGUUCAGUUCGUGAGUGUGUUGUAACAUGACUCGACUCGGAAAAGGAAUUUGUUAGCACGAGUAAUACUGGUUAGCCUCGCCAUCUUGUGGACUCCAGGUGCAUAGAUUUAAAAUGACAUAUAUUUAUGUCUACAGAACGACAAAUAAUUAUUUAGGAUGUUCCAGCAACAAAGAAAAGAAGAUUGCUUCCCUCAAAGCAAGGUUGUUUUUUUUCUUACUGAGCUCGCCCAAGUGUGCCUAAUCAAGUGGCUGUCGACAGUGCUCGAGACGCAAGGGGAAGGAAGCACUCCAUCAUCUACAAGCAAAGGCAGGAAGUUUGUGAAGUUACAGUGGUGAUGAAAAUAUCGGCACGUUUGUAUUACAAUUUUCUCAUUUUUGCCAAAAGACACAUAAGGAAGUGACAGUGUACUUAAGUAACAGUCAAACAAGUCAUGGACAUUUUUGAGCUGCUUGAUCUCAAGCGGUAAGAAGGCUGCAAAAAAAAAAAAAAAUGUCCAAGCGCAAAUAAAAACGAUACAAAUUUAAAAGUAAUCACAUGCACAGGGAUUGGACUUCGCUUUGGGGCUGAAAAUGCCAGGUGAACUUUUUCUUUGGCUUUAUCGCCGCGGUAAGUGUCACUAACCGGCUGGCACAAGACACUGAGGCAACGUUGAUUAUAUGUGCAUGUCCUUUAAAACUGACUUUGAAACAACGUUGCAAAAUAGUUGUAUUUGUAAAUUGAGACAACCUUCGUGUCUAACGUUGGAUUAACAAUGUUGGUUGGAAAAUUAUCAAACUUUAACGGUCAAAUCAACAUCACAACCUGAAAUUGAAUAACCGUCAUCAAAAAGCAUGUUGUUUCAGUGUUGUAUUUGUGUUUUGAAAUAUUAGUUGGAAAAUGACCAAAAUUCAAGGGUCAAAUCAAUGUCAGAACCCAACAUUGAUUAAACAUCGUCAAAAAGCAUGUUGUCUCAAUGAAAAGUUUGAGUUGCUCAACGUCAGGACCAAAUUCAUCAAGUUGUCAUUGUUGUUGCAAUGUAAUGUACCUGCUGAGUUUCCUCACUUAAAAUUAAUUAUCACUGAGCGUUUUAUCCUAUUACUUUUUAAUAUUCACAGUUGUUUUAGGCUUGUAUGACAGUCAGUGGCAUCAUAUAACAUUGUUACGUGAUACGUUGUUGUGCAUGUGCACCUGUUUGGUGUAUUUUAUUCCCCCAAAAA